Molecule: ribosomal RNA, 274 nt
Filed under: uncultured bacterium
Lineage: Bacteria
Description: partial 16S ribosomal RNA
Rfam family: Bacterial small subunit ribosomal RNA
Source: RNAcentral
AUACAGAGGGUGCGAGCGUUAAUCGGAAUUACUGGGCGUAAAGCGUACGUAGGCGGUUAGUUAAGUUAGAUGUGAAAGCCCCGGGCUUAACCUGGGAACUGCAUUUAAAACUGGCUAACUAGAGUUAAGUAGAGGGGAGUGGAAUUUCAGGUGUGGCGGUGAAAUGCGUAGAGAUCUGAAGGAACACCAGUGGCGAAGGCGGCUCCCUGGACUUGAACUGACGCUGAGGUACGAAAGCGUGGGUAGCAAACGGGAUUAGAAACCCCAGUAGUCC